Molecule: ribosomal RNA, 253 nt
Filed under: uncultured bacterium
Lineage: Bacteria
Description: partial 16S ribosomal RNA
Rfam family: Bacterial small subunit ribosomal RNA
Source: RNAcentral
UACGUAGGGGGCAAGCGUUGUCCGGAAUCAUUGGGCGUAAAGAGCGUGUAGGCGGCCUGAAAGGUCAGCUGUGAAAACUCGAGGCUUAACCUCGAGACGUCGGUUGAAACCAUCUGGCUAGAGUCCGGAAGAGGAGUGUGGAAUUCCCGGUGUAGCGGUGAAAUGCGCAGAUAUCGGGAAGAACACCCGUGGCGAAGGCGGCACUCUGGGACGGUACUGACGCUGAGACGCGAAAGCGUGGGGAGCGAACAGG